AUUGACCUCGGAUCAGGUAGGAUACCCGC
Molecule: ribosomal RNA, 29 nt
Filed under: Usnea mutabilis
Lineage: Eukaryota; Fungi; Ascomycota; Lecanoromycetes; Lecanorales; Parmeliaceae
Also listed under: 1 other name
Description: partial 28S ribosomal RNA
Source: RNAcentral